GUGCUCACUUUGGCAGCACAUAUACUUAAAUUGGAAUGAUACAAAGAUUAGCAUGGCCUCUGCUCAAGGAUGGUAUGUGAAUUGGUGAAGCAUUUCAUGUUUUU
Molecule: small nuclear RNA, 104 nt
Organism: Capra hircus (goat)
Lineage: Eukaryota; Metazoa; Chordata; Mammalia; Artiodactyla; Bovidae
Source: Ensembl